This 587-nucleotide long non-coding RNA is filed under the name Olea europaea (common olive). Its description in RNAcentral is "long non-coding RNA (OEUR_LNC007282)". The record is from RNAcentral. Lineage: Eukaryota; Viridiplantae; Streptophyta; Magnoliopsida; Lamiales; Oleaceae.
GAAAAGAUCUGUGUGUGUUAUCCUAUAGUAUAUCGUCAUCGCAUGUGUAUUUGCUCUUGAUUGUUUACUGUUAAAUAUUUGCUUCUACUUGUGUGUUUUUUGACCUUAGCCCAAGUGAGUACAUGGAGCAGGUAUGGUAUGUGUUUCAAGUUGGAAACACGAGGUAAGGUCUGUGAUCCAAUUUUAUUGGCUACCUUGAUUAUGCAAGUGUUAACUGUGUGUUUUGAUUGCUUGCAGAUUUAUUGGGCAUCAAGGUGGAGAUUUGUUGGGUUUUUUGAUACCCAAUAAAUCCCGGGCUAUGAUGUUAACGUGAGUUAAUAUUAUUUCAUAGGCAUAGGCCGAUGAAUGAAAUAAGUCCAACAACCAAGUCCAUGAGCUACACCCGGCCCAAUUGUAUUCCUUAUAGAUGGCUUGAAUCUUGGCCCGUUUACCCCUUUAAUGGCCCAACUUAAAGCCUAACCCUAGAGUAUAUAUAUGAAUAUAACCCUAGCCUCUUUGUGAUGAUGAGUGUGUGAUUUUGAGAGAAGAAACUAGUGAAUCCCGGCUGCCCCCUUUUUGUGUGAGAAAAAGGUAUCCAGAAGUGUCCA